Molecule: ribosomal RNA, 453 nt
Filed under: Triticum aestivum (bread wheat)
Lineage: Eukaryota; Viridiplantae; Streptophyta; Magnoliopsida; Poales; Poaceae
Description: partial small subunit ribosomal RNA
Source: RNAcentral
AUGACACUCCAAGAGCGCAUCAAGAGCAUGGAGGACAAGAAUAUCAAACUUGUCAACAUGGUCCAGGUGAUGCUAGUUCGCCGGAUCCUUCAAUGUCAAUGUCGGACUUACAAUCUAUGGGAAUUUGAUCCGGCCAAGCACCAAACCCUACUGGAGUUCUUUGGCACAAUGCACGAAGACAUUUGGAAGGUGAUUUUCAAGCCCGGCAAGUCAUGGCUGGACACCACCGAGGAUCGUGGGCACAAAUUGCCCCGUCCCGCAAGUUCGGCAAGUUUUUGUAUGUUGGAAAGGUGUAUCCUUUAUUUGCAUACUCUGAAGAAAAUGCCUAAUAUUUCCUUAACGAUUCUCCCAGGGCUGGACGCAGUAAGCGAAACGGAUCUACUGUCCGGCCCUGUGGCCCGAAGAACAAGCCGGCCCAGUUCUGAUGAAGAUGUUGGUCCCGGCGCCUUAUAA